RNAcentral lists this long non-coding RNA (2283 nucleotides) under Homo sapiens (human). Its description in RNAcentral is "STXBP5 antisense RNA 1". Lineage: Eukaryota; Metazoa; Chordata; Mammalia; Primates; Hominidae. The record is from RNAcentral.
AGAACAAGUGUCUUGGUUCACAGCAAAGAGGACAAAGAAAACAGCAAGUUUUAGGGGGUUGAAUCCUGGAUUCCCCUGGCAAACACCAUUCUACUUUCCGUCUCUAUGAAUUUGACUACUCGAAGUACCUCAUGUGAAAUGUUGGUGCCAAAUGAACUUUUCUGGUUCUUCUGAAUAUGCCACUGUUGCUGGAGAAAUGUCACUGCUAGAGAACAGAAGACUAUUAUUCCAAAGGGUAUUUGAGACUGACUGAAUCAGGUCUGGAACAUUAUUGAAAUGAGACCCACAAAAGAAGAGAUACUGAGAGGAUGAAGAGAUCCUCCUAGCUUGGCGGAAUACUCUGCUCUGAUGGAAGUACCAUCCUGGUCCAAACAUGAAAGAAUUCCCAACAUCAAGAUUGAUUGAAACAUAUUCAAUGGAUCAUUUGCUCCAGAAGAAGCUGGUUGCCAUGUCUUGAGGACAGUAAACCCUCUGGGGAGGUUCCUGUGGUAAGGAACAAGGGCUCCUGGCAAUAGCCUCUGAGUGAGCCACCUUGAAAAUGGAUUGUCCAGCCCCAGUCAAGCUUUCAGAUGACUGUAGCUCCUGCCAAUGUCUUCACCACAACCUCAUGAGAUCCCAAGCUACAACCACUCAGAACUUCAUCUUUUGGGAAGCACCAGGGAGAGCUGCCUGUGCCUGGCAGAAGCUGCCCAUGCCCCACUGAUACCCCACAGUACUUCCUGUUCUGCUUAGUACUCCUGCUUCUUUCUACAAACAACUGUGAUUCUCUACCUGGGAGCUUCCUCUGGCCACAGGAGCCUGCUCACCUGAUUGGGACACCCUAGCAGUACUGGCUCAUAGAUGGAAGGGACUUGCCUUGUCGCUGAUGAGACUUUCGACUUGGACUUUUGAGUCAAUGCUGGAAUGAGUUAAGACUUUGGGGAACUGUUGGAAGGGUGUGAUUGUGUUUUGAAUUGUGAGGACAUGAGAUUUUGAAGAGGCUAAUGGCAGCGUCCCCACCUAAAUCUCUUCUUGAAUUGUAGUUCCCAUAAUCCCCACGUGUCGUGGGGUGGAGCCGGUGGAGAUAAUUGAAUCAUGGGAACACUUUCCCCCAUGCUGUUAUUGUGAUUGUGAAUUCUCACGAGAUCUGAUGGUUGUAUAAACGCCUUCCCUCUUCGCUGGGCACUCAUUUUUCUCCUUCCUGCCACCAUGUGAAGAAGGAUAUGCUUGCUUCUUGUGCCAUGAUUGUAAGUUUCCUGAGGCCUCCCCAGCCAUGCUGAACUGUGAGUCAAUUGAACCUCUUUCCUUUAUAAAUUACCUAGUCUUGGAUAUGUUUUUAUUAGCAGUGUGAGACAGGACUAAUACACAAAGGAUUUGAAAUCACAAAGGAGCUGUUUUCUGCUCCACCAUGGAAGUCUCACAUGCAUCACAUCUAUUCAUAUCCAUUUGCCACAACUAGACAAAAAGUCCUUUUUAAAAUCUGCCUAGAGAUCAGGAAGUAUUAUCUCUGGAUGCCUAGGCAGGAGAGGUGAAUCAGAUAUUGGUGGGCACUAGUGUGUUCUAUGAUACAUAGCUUAAUAAAAAUAAGUUUCAGAUAAAUCUAAAUAUACAUUAGAAUACUGUAACCACAGUAGAAAAAAAUAUUGGCUCCUUUUUGUGAUAAACUAAUGAUGGUAAAUGCACCCUAUUUAAGCAAGAAAAGAAACUGAUCUGCCAUAAAGAAAACAAUGACAUAUUUAACUACAAAAUAUGUUACAAAAUAUUAAUAUCCCUAAUGGACAAAUGAGUUCCAAUAAAUGGAUAACAAAAAACCAAUAAGUCUGUAGAAAAAUGGAGAAAAUAUAUUUGCAGAAUAUUUAUACAGGUGGUAAUGAAAUUGACAAUGAUGUUUAUCAUCAGCAGUAAACAGUAAAAAGUUUCACCCACCAGGACUAUAGAAAUUUUUCAAAUGGAUAAUUUUCAGAAUCAGCAAAGUUAUAGAAAAGUAGGUACCAGUUGCACAUACCAUUGGAGGAAAUGUAAAAUAUAGUUACCUUGUGGAAAGUAAUCUGAUGUAAUAUAUUAAAAUUUUAUCCAUGUAUGUCCUAUAAUUCAGCAAUUCCAUGUUGGGGAAUCCAUACAAAGAAAUACUUAUACACAUGCAGAAGGAGCUAAGUUUAAGAAAGCACACAUUUCAGCGGGUUGUGGUGUCUCACCCCUGUAAUCCCAGCACAUUGGGAGGCCGAGGUUGGUGGAUCACCUGAGGUCAGGAGUUUGAGACCAGCCUGGCCAACAUGGUGAAACCCUGUCUCUACUAAAAAUACA